RNAcentral lists this long non-coding RNA (488 nucleotides) under Heterocephalus glaber (naked mole-rat). RNAcentral describes it as "lncRNA (ENSHGLG00100037710.1)". The record is from RNAcentral. Lineage: Eukaryota; Metazoa; Chordata; Mammalia; Rodentia; Bathyergidae.
AGACCAGAUGUUGGUGUAAAAACUGCUUGAGAAGCAUCUGUGAGAGAUACCGCGCUGUCCGUCUCCCAGGAAGGAAGUUCGUAUCUCUUGUGCGUGUUCUAAUUUUAAAAUUAACACAGGACUCCAAAAAUUCAACUGAGAAAUGGGAAUGAUCUUCCAGGUCCAAUGAUAUUAGUGUCUGGACCAAAGUCACAGCUACUGGCUUCCUGAAGACAGUGAUAUACAGACUGGGUCUCCACCAUGUGCAUGAGCUAGGAAAGGGCAGAAGAAAGAACUGGAGGAGAAUUGGUCCCGAUAGAAGGGAAGAGAUGUGAGAAGGAUAGAAGAGAAAGAGCAAGAAUCUGUGCCUGGAAAACAGACCACAGACCCACAGGGAUGAGUACAUUGGAAGCAUUGGAGUGGAGUAAACAUCUUCAAGUUUCAAGUAGUGGAUUAAGAGCAGCAGCAGAAAAGCCAUAAAAACCCAGAUGAUGAAGACUCUUUAAAGG